AUACGGAGGAUCCGAGCGUUAUCCGGAUUUAUUGGGUUUAAAGGGUGCGCAGGCGGCCAUUUAAGUCAGCGGUUAAAUCGUGGGGCUCAACCCCAUUCUGCCGUUGAUACUGGGUGGCUUGAUUGCGGUCGAGGUUGGCGGAAUUCGUUGUGUAGCGGUGAAAUGCAUAGAUAUGACGAAGAACACCGAUUGCGUAGGCAGCUCGCCCACACGCAAAUGACGCUCAUGCACGAAAGUGCGGGGAUCGAACAGGAUUAGAUACCCUGGUAGUCCGCACAGUAAACGAUGAAUACUUGUUUUCGGCGAUAUAAUGUCGGAGGCAAAGCGAAAGCGAUAAGUAUUCCACCUGGGGAGUACGCCGGCAACGGUGAAACUCAAAUGAAUUGACGGGG
Molecule: ribosomal RNA, 392 nt
Filed under: uncultured bacterium
Lineage: Bacteria
Description: partial 16S ribosomal RNA
Rfam family: Bacterial small subunit ribosomal RNA
Source: RNAcentral